RNAcentral lists this ribosomal RNA (119 nucleotides) under Pteropus alecto (black flying fox). Lineage: Eukaryota; Metazoa; Chordata; Mammalia; Chiroptera; Pteropodidae. The record is from RNAcentral.
GUCUAUGGCCACGCUACCCUGAACAAGCCCGAUCCCAUCUGAUCUUGGAAGCCAAGCAGGGUCAGGCCUGGUUAGUACUUGGAUGGGAGACCACCUAGGAAGACCAGGUGCUAUAGGCG